GCCAGCGAUUAGGUCGGGAACUCAAAGGAGACUGCCAGUGAUAAACUGGAGGAAGGUGGGGAUGACGUCAAGUCAUCAUGGCCCUUACGACCAGGGCUACACACGUGCUACAAUGGCGCAUACAAAGAGAAGCGACCUCGCGAGAGCAAGCGGACCUCAUAAAGUGCGUCGUAGUCCGGAUUGGAGUCUGCAACUCGACUCCAUGAAGUCGGAAUCGCUAGUAAUCGUGGAUCAGAAUGCCACGGUGAAUACGUUCCCGGGCCUUGUACACACCGCCCGUCACACCAUGGGAGUGGGUUGCAAAAGAAGUAGGUAGCUUAACCUUCGGGAGGGCGCUUACCACUUUGUGAUUCAUGACUGGGGUGAAGUCGUAACAAGGUAACCGUAGGGGAACCUGCGGUUGGAUCACCUCCUUACCUUAAAGAA
This 426-nucleotide ribosomal RNA is filed under the name Salmonella enterica subsp. enterica serovar Typhimurium. RNAcentral's name for it is "bacterial SSU rRNA". It matches the Rfam family "Bacterial small subunit ribosomal RNA", at positions 1117 to 1533 of the family's 1533-position model. The record is from RNAcentral. Lineage: Bacteria; Pseudomonadati; Pseudomonadota; Gammaproteobacteria; Enterobacterales; Enterobacteriaceae.